GUGUCAGCAGCCGCGGUAAUACGUAGGGUGCGAGCGUUAAUCGGAAUUACUGGGCGUAAAGCGUGCGCAGGCGGUGAUGUAAGACAGAUGUGAAAUCCCCGGGCUCAACCUGGGAACUGCAUUUGUGACUGCAUCGCUGGAGUGCGGCAGAGGGGGAUGGAAUUCCGCGUGUAGCAGUGAAAUGCGUAGAUAUGCGGAGGAACACCGAUGGCGAAGGCAAUCCCCUGGGCCUGCACUGACGCUCAUGCACGAAAGCGUGGGGAGCAAACAGGAUUAGAAACCCGGGUAGUCC
RNAcentral lists this ribosomal RNA (292 nucleotides) under uncultured Comamonadaceae bacterium. RNAcentral's name for it is "partial 16S ribosomal RNA". It matches the Rfam family "Bacterial small subunit ribosomal RNA", at positions 505 to 796 of the family's 1533-position model. The record is from RNAcentral. Lineage: Bacteria; Pseudomonadati; Pseudomonadota; Betaproteobacteria; Burkholderiales; Comamonadaceae.